RNAcentral lists this ribosomal RNA (468 nucleotides) under uncultured bacterium. Its description in RNAcentral is "partial 16S ribosomal RNA". It matches the Rfam family "Bacterial small subunit ribosomal RNA", at positions 28 to 507 of the family's 1533-position model. The record is from RNAcentral.
GACGAACGCUGGCGGCGUGCUUAACACAUGCAAGUCGAACGGAAAGGCCCUGCUUUUGUGGGUUGCUCGAGUGGCGAACGGGUGAGUAACACGUUAGUAACCUGCCCUUGACUUUGGGAUAACUUCAGGAAACUGGGGCUAAUACCGGAUAGGAGCUCCUGCUGCAUGGUGGGGGUUGGAAAGUUUCGGCGGUUGGGGAUGGACUCGCGGCUUAUCAGCUUGUUGGUGGGGUAGUGGCUUACCAAGGCUUUGACGGGUAGCCGGCCUGAGAGGGUGACCGGCCACACUGGGACUGAGAUACGGACCAGACUCAUAAGGGAGGCAGCAGUGGGGAAUAUUGCACAAUGGGCGGAAGCCUGAUGCAGCAACGCAGCGUGCGGGAUGAAGGCCUUAGGGUUGUAAACCGCUUUCGCCUGUGACGAAGAGUGAGUGACGGUAAUGGGUAAAGAAGCAACGGCUAAAUACGUG